This 64-nucleotide transfer RNA is filed under the name Italochrysa insignis. RNAcentral's name for it is "tRNA-His". RNAcentral also lists the same sequence under 1 other name. The record is from RNAcentral. Lineage: Eukaryota; Metazoa; Arthropoda; Insecta; Neuroptera; Chrysopidae.
AUUUAAAUAGUUUAUAAAAAUAUUGAUUUGUGGUAUCAAAGAUAUGAUUUAAUCAUUUUAAAUA